This 326-nucleotide ribosomal RNA is filed under the name uncultured eukaryote. Its description in RNAcentral is "partial 18S ribosomal RNA". It matches the Rfam family "Eukaryotic small subunit ribosomal RNA", at positions 1470 to 1796 of the family's 1831-position model. The record is from RNAcentral.
CCCUUAGAUGUUCUGGGCCGCACGCGAGCUACACUGAUGCAUUCAACGAGCCUAGCCUUGACCGAGAGGUCCGGGUAAUCUUUGAAACUGCAUCGUGAUGGGGCUAGAUUAUUGCAAUUAUUAAUCUUCAACGAGGAAUGCCUAGUAAGCGUGAUUCAUCAAAUCGCGUUGAUUACGUCCCUGCCCUUUGUACACACCGCCCGUCGCUCCUACCGAUUGAGUGUGUUGGUGAGGAGUUCGGAUUGGCUCUUAGUGGUGGUUCGCCACCACCUAGAGCUGAGAAGUUCUCCAAACCGCCCCACUUAGAGGAAGGAGAAGUCGUAACA